CAGAAAACAAGACAUGGGAAUAUAAAAUAUAAAAGACAUCAACUUUAAGAACUGAACCAGCACUAAUCAAUGUCAGUUUCAGAGAUGACAAGACUGCAUUUUAGUACAAGAGGGAGGACAGAGAACAUCUGCAGAAGGAGAGAUGGGAUGAGGACAACAACAUGCUGCUGGAAACAGAGACAUAUCCUAUCAAUAUACACUGCUGUGUCCAGGAGCUGGGUCCAGACAGCCAGCAAUUUACAGGGAUUUCCAGACACAUCCUAA
This 264-nucleotide long non-coding RNA is filed under the name Crocodylus porosus (Australian saltwater crocodile). RNAcentral's name for it is "lncRNA (ENSCPRG00005011888.1)". The record is from RNAcentral. Lineage: Eukaryota; Metazoa; Chordata; Crocodylia; Crocodylidae.